CCUACGGGAUGCAGCAGUGAGGAAUAUUGGUCAAUGGGCGCAAGCCUGAACCAGCCAAGUAGCGUGAAGGAUGACUGCCCUACGGGUUGUAAGCUUCUUUUGUAAAGGAAUAAAGUGAGGCACGUGUACCUUUAUGUAUGUACUUUAUGAAUAAGAGUCGGCGAAAUCCGUGCCAGCAGCCGCGGUAAUACGGAGGAUCCGGGCGUUAUCCGGAUUUAUUGGGUUUAAAGGGAGCGUAGAUGGGUUGUUAAGUCAGUUGUGAAAGGUUGCGGCUCAACCGGAAAAUUGCAAGUGAUACUGGCAGUCUUGAGUACAGUUGAGGUAGGCGGAAUUCGUGGUGUAGCGGUGAAAUGCGUAGAGAUCACGAAGAACUCCGAUUGCGAAGGCAGCUUACUAAACUGCCACUGACAUUGAUGCUCGAAAGCGUGGGUAGCAAACAGGAUUAGAUACCCCAGUAGUC
Molecule: ribosomal RNA, 460 nt
Filed under: uncultured bacterium
Lineage: Bacteria
Description: partial 16S ribosomal RNA
Rfam family: Bacterial small subunit ribosomal RNA
Source: RNAcentral